GCACUGCUGAAGAGUCUUACGAUAGGACGAAACGGCCGUCCAAUGC
Molecule: non-coding RNA, 46 nt
Organism: Schistosoma mansoni
Lineage: Eukaryota; Metazoa; Platyhelminthes; Trematoda; Strigeidida; Schistosomatidae
Source: Rfam